Molecule: long non-coding RNA, 379 nt
Filed under: Androctonus crassicauda
Lineage: Eukaryota; Metazoa; Arthropoda; Arachnida; Scorpiones; Buthidae
Source: RNAcentral
GUUGGAUAAAAUUUUUACAAUUUUAGCAUGAUUUUGCUUAGAAUUCAAUUGUGCAAUUAUCAUGCACAAUUCUUAGAUGAAUUGGGAAUAUAUACAAAAUUUGAAUGAUAAAUUUUGUUACUGCAAUUCUGCUUACAUUAUCGUAUAAGGCUAGGCAUGCACUAGAACUACCGGCACUGGUUUUUCCUGCUCGAAAUGCCAUCCACUGUAGUCUUACUGCCUGGCAAAAAGAGCAGGCUAUGCAUUCUUGUGACAAUCAACAGCCACUGGCAUAUGGCAAAUCAAUGAGACGAGCCGUAGCAUCUAUAAGAAUGCACCAAUCACUAUAAUAAAAUGGUUUCCAUCUUUGAAGAGCUGAAUUGUUAGCUCGUCUAUAAUA